CCUACGGGAGGCAGCAGUGGGGAAUAUUGCGCAAUGGGGGAAACCCUGACGCAGCAACGCCGCGUGAGUGAAGAAGGCCUUCGGGUUGUAAAGCUCUGUCAGGUGGGAAGAAACACAUCAGUCUCAAUAGGGCUGGUGUUUGACGGUACCACCAGAGGAAGCACCGGCUAACUCCGUGCCAGCAGCCGCGGUAAU
RNAcentral lists this ribosomal RNA (195 nucleotides) under uncultured bacterium. Its description in RNAcentral is "partial 16S ribosomal RNA". It matches the Rfam family "Bacterial small subunit ribosomal RNA", at positions 338 to 524 of the family's 1533-position model. The record is from RNAcentral.